This 736-nucleotide long non-coding RNA is filed under the name Equus asinus (donkey). RNAcentral describes it as "lncRNA (ENSEASG00005038455.1)". Lineage: Eukaryota; Metazoa; Chordata; Mammalia; Perissodactyla; Equidae. The record is from RNAcentral.
GAUGUAAGCAUCUUCCACACUGAGGAGAGAAUGGCCGUUCCACUCAUGAGGGGGAUGAAAAUGGAAAAGAUGUAAGAAACCUACACAAGGAGAUAAGAUGAGUCUUCUGAGUAGACACUUAACUAACUUGUUUCCUGGAGGAACAGAGUCUGCCUCCAACUCGGCACUGAAAUAUCCCAGACUGUAACUCGGCAUUCAUCGGCAGAGCAUUUACUUCAUCUUCUUAAGCAAGUUUAGCUGAGAGAACUCAUUUGAAGUUCAUGUGAGUCCUUCCAAAAUUCAAGGAAAAAAUGUUUUUUAAAAGCCAACAAUCUGUAUUAGAAUGUAUAUAUACUUAUAAAAAAAAAUCACAGAAUGCCACUGUGUAGCUAAUGGCUUCAUCUGUGAUUCCAGAAUGGCAAUUGCAUUGUGUGAAUAUUUAAAAGUAAGGCAUUCUGCUAGCUCAUGCCAAAAUAUAUAAAUCAUUUGGAGAUAGAAUGUUGAAUGGAUUUAAACUUGAUAGAUUUAGACAUAUGUUUCUAAUGGAUUGUUCAACCUAAUCCUAUUUAAUGUAACUCUUGAAUGUUGCUUGAAUAUGACCACGUGCAGUGAUUUCUAGAAUAUAUCAUAUACCUCUUCCCAACCCCACCCUCACUGCCCCCUAUACCUAAAUGCCAACUCCACACAGUUCCAAAUCUUGAGCAUAAUAUACAAGAGCCCCAAGGACCUUUCCAGUUUUAUGUCCUGUUGCUACAUA